CAAAAGGCUUUUUAAAGCCACGAACAGUUUUUUUCAGGAUGUG
Non-coding RNA from Oryctolagus cuniculus (rabbit), 43 nucleotides. Lineage: Eukaryota; Metazoa; Chordata; Mammalia; Lagomorpha; Leporidae. The record is from Rfam.